RNAcentral lists this ribosomal RNA (481 nucleotides) under uncultured Mycobacterium sp. RNAcentral's name for it is "bacterial SSU rRNA". It matches the Rfam family "Bacterial small subunit ribosomal RNA", at positions 8 to 507 of the family's 1533-position model. Lineage: Bacteria; Bacillati; Actinomycetota; Actinomycetes; Mycobacteriales; Mycobacteriaceae. The record is from RNAcentral.
AGAGUUUGAUCCUGCUCAGGACGAACGCUGGCGGCGUGCUUAACACAUGCAAGUCGACGGAAAGGCCCUUCGGGGUGCUCGAGUGGCGAACGGGUGAGUAACACGUGGGUGAUCUGCCCUGCACUUUGGGAUAAGCCUGGGAAACUGGGUCUAAUACCGGAUAGGACUACGAAUCGCAUGGUUUGUGGUGGAAGGCUUUUGCGGUGUGGGAUGGGCCCGCGGCCUAUCAGCUUGUUGGUGGGGGUGAUGGCCUACCAAGGCGACGACGGGUAGCCGGCCUGAGAGGGUGUCCGGCCACACUGGGACUGAGAUACGGCCCAGACUCCUACGGGAGGCAGCAGUGGGGAAUAUUGCACAAUGGGCGCAAGCCUGAUGCAGCGACGCCGCGUGAGGGAUGACGGCCUUCGGGUUGUAAACCUCUUUCGGUAGGGACGAAGCGUAAGUGACGGUACCUAUAGAAGAAGCACCGGCCAACUACGUG